This is a long non-coding RNA of Macaca mulatta (Rhesus monkey), 899 nucleotides long. RefSeq lists it as uncharacterized. The record is from RefSeq and is a predicted model, not a curated record. NCBI's taxonomy places the organism in Eukaryota, Metazoa, Chordata, Mammalia, Primates, Cercopithecidae.
AGGAAGAAGGGCCGGAGGUACAGGGAUGGGGCCUGGCUGACCUCCAUGCCCAGAGCCUUCCUUUCCCAAGUGGGAAGAAGUAGGAGGUUCCUGUAGAACAAAUGCCAGGGAAGAGGUGGCACGGAGCCCCAAGGGGGCUCAGGCGAGGGUCCAGGCCAGGUGGGCAGGCGGGGGCAGCACUCUGCAAGGGCAGGAGCCGUCAGAAGAGCGUCGGCUGUCCCCGGAGAAGGCCCUCUUGGAAGGAGCGAGCUGCCAGCAAGCAUAUGAAGAGAUGCUUGAAAUCAUCAGUCAUCAGAGAAAUGCAAAUUAAAACCACCACGAUGAUCCCAUCCCACCAUCAGGCUGCCAAGAUGAGAAGCUGGAUCUGCCAAGUCCUGGAAUGUUCUCAACCUUCAAAGUUCAAAAGGCUCACGUGAUGGUGUCUAUGCAACGUGUGCGCAUCCGUGAGGACGUGGUAUCUGCAUCCGCGUGGCCAGCGUGUCCCUCUAGAAACAAACAGGCCCCUCCCGUCCUCCACGGCGCUGUGGUCCAGGCACCCCCUCAUCAGCGCUGCAGGCCCCGGCAUCUGAGCAGCCAUUCCUGCAGGAAGCCCCUGAGGCUUGGGGUGGCCGUUGCCACCACAUGGUCCUGCCAGCCUCACUGGGGCGUCUCCUGCCUGCAGCUUCGGCCCAUCCACCACACUCAGCUACCGUGUCGGUCAUCACGAGCCAGUUAUCACCGGCCAGUUAUUACAGGCCAGUCAUCACGAGCUGGUCAUCACUCUCUAAGCCGCUGUCUGGGAACUUUUCCUCCCCGAUCUCCUCUUCAUAUUGCAUCACCCGUGGGACUGGAUCAGGGUCCACCCCAACAACCUUGUUUUACCUUGACAGACUCAUUAAAGACCCCUUUUCUGAAUGCAA